CGGUUUGGAGAUCUUCGGGACCCUUGGUUUCCCCCUCCAGCUGGGCGUUCCGCCCCUGGCCUACGAAACCCCACCUCCUCAUCCUCUGCUGACCCGGAUUGGUGGACCUCCCGCGGCGAUGCCUAGCGAUUGGUCCCCAUGGAUGAUGGUGACCAGCGAGACUCCGCCCCAGCCGGCGUUGGGGUCUGGGGGCACUGCUCAGCGGUGCUGGGCUGGCGAGGCUGGAGCCGCCGCCGCACUGACAGCUCCGUCUGUGGACCAUGGAGACUGGCGCCGGUCCACACCCGCUGCGCCUGUUCGUCUGCCUGAUACCACUCUGCCUUGCUCUGCUUCUGGGACCUGGGCGCCCCGGGACCGCCGAAGAAGUUAUCCUCCUGGACUCCAAAGCCUCCCAGGCUGAGCUGGGCUGGACUGCACUGCCAAGCACUGGGUGGGAGGAGAUUAGUGGCGUGGAUGAACACGACCGUCCCAUCCGCACGUACCAAGUGUGCAACGUGCUGGAGCCCAACCAGGACAACUGGCUUCAGACAGGCUGGAUCAGCCGCGGCCGCGGGCAGCGCAUCUUCGUGGAGCUGCAGUUCACACUGCGCGACUGCAGUAGCAUACCAGGUGCCACGGGCACCUGCAAAGAGACCUUCAACGCAUACUACCUAGAAACCGAGACCGACCUGGGCCGAGGGCGUCCCCGCCUAGGAGGCAACCGACCCCGCAAGAUUGACACCAUCGCAGCUGAUGAGAGCUUCACGCAGGGUGACCUGGGGGAGCGAAAGAUGAAGCUGAACACAGAGGUGCGUGAGAUCGGCCCCCUCAGCCGGCAAGGCUUCCACCUGGCCUUCCAGGACGUGGGUGCGUGCGUGGCGUUGGUCUCGGUGCGUGUCUACUACAAGCAGUGCCGCGCCACAGUGCGGGGCCUGGCAGCCUUCCCCGCCACCGCAGCUGAGAGCGCCUUCUCCACGCUGGUGGAAGUGGCUGGAACGUGCGUGGCCCACUCGGAAGGGGAGCCCAGCAGCCCUCCCCGCAUGCACUGUGGUGCCGAUGGCGAGUGGCUGGUGCCUGUGGGCCGUUGCAGCUGCAGUGCAGGAUUCCAGGAACAUGGUGACAUCUGUGAAGCUUGUCCCCCAGGGUUUUACAAGGUGUCCCCAAGGAGGCCCCUCUGCUCGCCCUGCCCGGAGCACAGCUUGGCCCUGGAGAAUGCUUCUACAUUCUGUGUGUGCCAGGACACCUAUGCUCGCUCGCCCACCGACCCGCCCUCAGCUUCCUGCACCCGGCCGCCGUCCGCGCCGCGGGACCUGCAGUACAGCCUGAGCCGCUCCCCGCUGGCGCUGCGGCUGCGCUGGCUGCCGCCUGCGGACUCAGGCGGCCGCUCCGACGUCACCUACUCGCUGCUGUGCCUGCGCUGCGGGCGCGACGGUCCAGCGGGCGCGUGCCAACCCUGCGGGCCGCGCGUGGCCUUCGUCCCGCGCCAGGCUGGGCUGCGGGAGCGCGCCGCCACGCUGCUGCACCUGCGGCCGGGCGCGCGCUACACCGUGCGCGUGGCCGCGCUCAACGGCGUCUCAGGCCCGGCUGCCGCCGCGGGAGCCACCUAUGCGCAGGUCACAGUGUCCACCGGACCCGGGGGUAAGGCCGCGCGCCCCAUGGGAGACCGUCCCCCACUCCCAGGUGCAGUUCCCUCGCAAGCAUCCCAAGGAAUUCAGGAACCCACGUGACUUUCCCCCCCAACUCUAAUCCCGGAUCCAGGUGGUGCCUAGAUGUCCCCACUUCUCCCCUCCACCCCCUUUGCGAACUCAGCCACCUUGCAGGAGCAGGGACACAGGCAGGUUCAGAACGCAGGCAACAGAGUGGUGGCGCUACUCUGAGUUUCCAGCGGGAUGAAAACCACCUUUGACAUCACACCCUCCGCAUCCUUGACAUUUUCUUCUGAUUUGUCUCUCCUCUGGUGCACACUUUCAAGUAAUCCCUCGAGUGCCCUCUGCAAGAUGGAUAAGCGCAUACGGUGGCUUUCCCAUCUGAUUGGUGUGUGACCCUCCUUCCCUGUCUUCUGUGACCCUACCCUGUCGGUUGGGUUUCCAGCGAGGCCUGGGGUGAUUUUCAUUCUUUUGUAAGUACCUUGGGUGUAGAGAUGUGCACACACAGGGGUGUUUGAAUAAUUUCUUAGCCUGCCGAUGAAAAUGAAGAAACAUAGCCAAUAUGAUUUCUUUUCACUCUCGCCUGGCUGAAGCACAGUAGACCCUUUGAUCCGAACUUUCUUUUUUCACUCCUGGGGAAGUUUUCUUGGUAGCUGCUUUGAGUGGCCUCCCUAUGUAUCUCUUAACCCAAUCUUUAAGCCUUGGGUUUUCCAUCCCUUUUCUCAUUCUCACAUUCUCACAUCUUGUCACUUUUUCGCUCUUAAUCCCUUUCCUAGGACUUUGAGAGCGAUUUCCCAAUCUACCUGGUUUUCUGGGACACUUCUGUUCUUUAUUGUUUCUGUUGGGACUUAACCCUUGCUAUUGCGUUUACAUUUUGAACAGGUCAAGGCCUGAGAGUGUAGCUCAAAGGUGUCACAUUUGCCGAGCACGCUAGAGGCAUUGGGCUUGUUCACAGGUAGCAAAGAAGGAAGAAAAGAAACAGAGAGGCGUGUCCAAUCCCAGCACUCAGUUCAAGGUCAUUCUGACACACAAAAUGAAUCUGAGCUCAGUCUGGGCCACAGGAAACUUUGUCUUAAAGAAUAAAAGUGUGGCCAGGCGUGAUGGUACACUCCUUUAGUGUUGGUACGUGUGAGAGACAGAGACACGCAGAAUCUCUGUUAGUUUGAGGCCUGCCUGGUCUACACUGGGAGUUCCAGGACAGCCAGGGCUAUACAGAGAGACUUUGCCUUAAAAGGAAAACAAACAAGCAAACAAAAAACCCAAAAAUCAAACCAACCAAAACAAAACAACCCAACUAGUAUUAUCGCUACAAUGUUUUAUACAUACGACUAUUUCUAUAAAACUCUCUCUAUAAUAUGUAUAUAUGUAUGUAACAAAUAUAAUAUUUACACAUAGUAUAUUAUUAUAUUUUCUCAUUAUUUUAUGUUCCUGAGUGUUCUGCCUGCAUGUGUGUCUGUGUACCGUGCUUGUGCUUAGUAGCAACAGAGCUCAGAAGAGUAUACUGGAUCUCCUGGAACUGGAGUUACAGACAGUUGCUGUGAGCUGCCAUAUGGGUACUGGGAAUGGAACCCAGGUCCUCUGGAAGAGCAGCCAAUGUUCUUAACCACUGAGCCACCUCUUCAGCCCCAGGCAGUGUCUUAUGUAGCCAAGGCUGGCCUCUUGAGUUGGCUGCUCUGGUCUCUACCUCUCAAGUGUUGGAAUUUUAGGAAUAGCCCAAUCUACAUGGUUCUAGGAAGCAAAUUACGGUUUCCUGCAUGCUAGACAAAUGUCUACCAACUGAGACUGGUCAAGCCUGUACACCCCCUUUUGUGCAUCAAGGUCUCACUAUAUUCUUCUGGCUGGCCUAGAAUUUGCUAUGUAGAUCAGGCUGGCCUCAAACUCAUAGAAAUCUACUUGCCUCUGCUUUUUGAGUCCUGUGAUUACAGUUUUGUGCCAUCAUGCCUGACCCUUUAAAAAUAUUUAAUUUGGGGGCUGGAGAGAUGGCUCAGCAGUUAAAAGCACCAUCUGCUCUUCCAGAGGUCCUGAGUUCAAUCCCCAGCAACUACAUGAUGUCUCAACACCAUCUACAAUAUGAACUAGAUCUGAUGUUCUCUUCUGACAUGCAGCCAUACCGCCGUGAACGAGCCAAUCUGGGCUGCACACUUUCUUAGCUCUUCAAACCACAGAAUGAGACUGAAGGAUGAGAAGCAAGCAGGAUGAGGAAAACUGGGAAGGCAAGCAGGGCUUUCCUUCCCAGUAGGCAACAAAAGUGAGAGAAGCCUUGGCCACAAAUUCUCCCUAAGCCCCUGGUCCUACCUAGACUUUGCCCUUCUGGCCUCACAGGCCACGCCCACAUUUAACCCCGCUCCCCUGUGCAUGCCCCGCUCCUUCUGCCCCCACCCGGAGCUUGUGGGCAGAGAGUCCAGGAGAGCAUCCCGCUUUGCUUACUCUCAGCACCAUGGGAAGAGGAUGAAAUCCGCAGGGACCGCGUGGAGCCCCAAAGCGUAUCGCUGUCGUGGCGAGAGCCUGUGCCUGCUGGAGCUCCUGGAACCAACAGCACAGAGUAUGAGAUCCGCUACUAUGAGAAGGGUCAGAGUGAGCAGACUUACUCCACAGUGAAGACAGGAGCACCGGCUGUCACUGUCACCAACCUGAAGCCUGCUACCAGAUACGUUUUUCAGAUCCGGGCGGCCUCCCCAGGACCUUUGUGGGAGGCCCAGAGCUUCAGUCCAAGCAUUGAAGUGCAGACUCCAGGGGAAGUUGCCCCAGGGUCCAGGGACCAGAGCCCUGCAGUGGUUGUCACCGUGGUGACCAUCUCAGCCCUCUUGGUCCUGGGCUCCGUGAUGAGUGUGUUGGCCAUCUGGAGGAGGCCCUGCGAUGGCAAAGGAAGUGGCAACGCCCAUGACGAAGAGGAACUGUAUUUCCACUUCAAAGUCCCGACACGACGCACGUUCCUGGACCCCCAAAGCUGCGGGGACCCGUUGCAGGCUGUGCAUCUGUUUGCCAAAGAACUAGAUGCCAAAAGCGUCACCCUGGAGAAGAGCCUGGGAGCAGGCAAGCCCUGGACCCCAGAAGCCUGGAUCCAUCAGGGAGCUCCGCACACUGGAUAAACCCCACCCACCAGGCAACACCCACUAUGGAAAGCCCCACGUCUUCGCCACCUCUUUUCUGAAAGCCCGUCCCCCACCCAUGGCCCGAAGCCCCGCCUCUGCACUAAGGGCACCCCUUCCCUGAAAGCCCCUCGCCCACCUGAAGUAUCUGUGACUCUGCACUCUCUUGGUCUGUUCCCUAGGUCCCUGUGGGACAUCUGCCUCCGGACCAUUCUCCAGGCAGUCUCAAAUUUAGACCCAGGCUUUUAUGGAGUAGUGAGGAGAGGUUUUUCCAGGAAGCUUCGGGCCAGACACACCUGAGGUCUGAUGAUGGAUUAGCGGAGUGACUAAGAGGCUCACCCUCGUCAGCUCUGAACCUCAAUUUCUCGCCUAAAAGGCUGCUAUGGGAACUCCGCAGGCUCAGGGCACCUUGCUGGCUUGUUACUGUGCUCCAAGAAACAGGCCUCUCCCCAGAACCCACACCACAGAAGGCAGGAAGAGCUGUAGGGCAGAACAGAUGUAGUUGUCACUUGCCCUGGGCUUUGCAGCAUCUAAUGACCUUUGAUGGGCAAGCAUGUGCAAAGUUACUGUGUCUCUAUCACACAGGAGACUAAGUAAGGCCAAGAGGAAAGAAAAAAAAAAAGGAGACCAAGGUUAAAUGCUUCAAACUCAAGAGCUUCCCACAGCAAGCUGGAAAGGACCCCAUGAGCCAGAGUUACCUUGUUUCGGUCUACCCCAUUUGUUGGUGGGAGUCUGAGAUGCCUGUUUCUUCACAGGACGAUUUGGGGACCUGUGCUGCGGCUGCCUGCAGCUGCCCGGUCGCCAGGAACUGCCCGUGGCCGUGCACACUCUGAGGGAUGGCUGCUCAGACUCCCAGAGGCUCAGCUUCCUGGCUGAGGCUCUCACCCUGGGGCAGUUUGACCAUAGCCACAUUGUGCGGCUGGAAGGCGUUGUCACCCGAGGAAACCCCUUGAUGAUUGUCACUGAGUACAUGAACCUCGGGGCCCUUGAUGACUUCCUCAGGCAUCACGAGGGGGAGCUGGUGGCUGCGCAGCUGAUGGGUCUGCUGCCUGGGCUGGCAUCGGCCAUGAAGUAUCUGUCGGAGAUGGGCUACGUUCACCGGGGCCUUGCAGCCCGCCGAGUGCUUGUCAGCAGUGGCCUCCUCUGUAAGAUCUCUGGCUUUGGGCGUGGUCCCCGGGACCGAGCAGAAGCUGUCUACACUACCAUGGUAAGGAGCCCCCUUCUUUGCUCGCAUGUGCUGUUUCUCUCCUUUCAGCCUCCUUCCCUACCUUGUCUCUUCCCUCUGGUGGUACCAUGCCUGUGUCAGCCUGGCAGCUUCCUCAGAUGUGGAGGGGUGAGGGGAAGACAUGUGGGACUGGCUGUAGUAGGUGCUGGUGGCCUGCCUGGAUGAAGCCUGCUGGUGACUUAAUGCUUUCCUGCUCUGCCCUGCUUACCCACCUAGAGUGGCAGGAGCCCAGCGCUCUGGGCAGCUCCUGAGACUCUACAGUUUGGCCACUUCAGUUCUGCUAGUGAUGUGUGGAGCUUUGGCAUUGUCAUGUGGGAGGUGAUGGCCUUUGGGGAGCGGCCCUACUGGGAUAUGUCUGGACAAGAUGUAAGUAUGGCUCCAGCUCCCUGACCUCUUAGCUUCCAGACUUCUCACUCCCAUCCCGCCUAGAGUCCCUGGGAUGGUGGUGGGUGGUAGUGGUGGUGGUGGUGGUGGUGUGGUGUGUAUGUUGGGUAAUUGGAAGCAUCCUGUCUGCUCCCCAUCACUGGAGCCUAGGUAAUCAAGGCCGUGGAGGAUGGCUUCCGGCUGCCGCCCCCCAGGAACUGUCCCUCCCAACUGCAUCGACUGAUGCUCGAGUGUUGGCAGAAAGAUCCAAGUGAACGGCCCAGGUUUUCCCAGAUCCACAGCAUCCUGAGCAAGAUGGGGCAGGAGCCAGAACCCUCCAAGUGUGCCUCGACCACCUGUCUCAGGCCUCCCACACCCCUGGCAGACCGUGCCUUUUCUACCUUCCCCUCCUUUGGCUCCGUGGGUGCCUGGCUGGAGGCCCUAGACCUGUGCCGCUACAAGGACAACUUCUCUGCAGCGGGCUACGGGAGCCUAGAGGCCGUGGCUGAGAUGACUGCCCAGGACCUGGGGAGCCUUGGCAUCUCUUCCGCAGAGCAUCGAGAAGCCCUCCUUAGUGGGAUCAGUGCCCUGCAGACUCGAGUGCUACAACUACAGGGUCAGGGGGUGCAAGUGUGAGCAGCUCAGCCCUGCCCAAGGACCUGCAAGCUACACUCCCGUUGGGUGGGAGGCGUGCUCUUCCUUAGUGGGCCCUGAGCUGGUUGGUACCACGUUGUCCCAUUUCAUUUUUCCUCUCAACACCUUGCUGACCUAGUGGUCCUAAAACGAGGUUCAGAUCCCUGGAUAGAACCCCAGACAUAACAGUAGGAAGAAGGUUAGGGUGUCAAGGGAAGAUUGGGGUGUCAAGGGUGUUGGUUGGGGAAGAGAGUUUCAGUUGUUGUCCUGGCUCAGGCCCCUUGAGCUUCCACACUCAGUGGGGAUUGGGCCUAAUCAGUGGGCAUCUCAUUUCCCUAGAGAGCUUUUGACUUGCCAGGCAGAAAGGGUCCCUGAGAGAGACCCAUUGGUUCUGGCAGGGACCACAGCUGCCUAGGCACCUGAGUACGGGAGCCUGAGCCAGUGGGUAGUGUCCCUUAUGUCCUGUGCCUUGGCUAGGUCUAUCUGCACACUGGUACCAAGGCCCUAGCAGGCAAGUGGUGCUGAGCUCAGGGUCUGGACCCCAGGGGGACACUCCAGAGCUAAUGUCUUCUUGCCUGGGGGUGGGCAGUUCAGGAUGAGAGCCAGGCUCCUACUUGGCCACACACAGUCCUGGUGCUUGCCCUAGGUCCGGAUGUCUGAUUUGAUUGCAACUGAUUUCAGAGGAGCACAAUAGGGGUGUUCUUCUGCAUUCUGGAGGGGAAAGAGACUGAGGAAGGGGUGUGAUAGGCUGAUCUAGCCCCACUAUAUACUUGGGGAAGUCAGAGCCUAUAUAUAGUCUCAGAGCCAGGGUCAAUGCCAAACCAAAAUCCAGGGAGAAGCCUAGCCCUGGAGAGAGCUUGUCCAGCCCUAUGGUACUAGCACUUGUCCCUGGGAGCACAGUUAAUCCUCUCUGGGUGAGCCCCUUCAGGCUGCUCAGUCCCUGUACACAACAAAAGAGUUUCCCUCCAGCGAGCCUCCCUGUAUGAUCUUCAGAGCUUUUGAAGGAGUAUGGUGCUAAGCUGACCUAUCUGCAAGGGCCUUGAGACCAAAGCCAUCCCAGGAGGGCAGAAAGGCCGCUGGAUGUGGACAGGACAAUGGAGGUUAAGUUUGUCUACAUGACCCCUGAUGGAAGCCUGUUUUGCUAUGUAGGGAGGAGAGGUGGCAUGGGAUGAGACAGAGCAGGUGAGAGUGGAGAGGGGUAGGCGGGAUAGAGAACACCUCUGGAGGGGAUCCCCCCAGGCACAGGGGAAUGGGCAGGAUUGUGGAUGUUUGCAUAGUGGGGUGUCCAAAAAGGCUUCUUAAAGUCAAAACUGAACAAGGCCUUGCAGGGCAGUGUGUCCUCUCCUUAGGGUGAAUGGCAUCAGCAGGCUCAGGGUCCAAGCAAGGAUGUCUUAACAGAGAGCCUGGAGGGGGGCUGUAAACCACACUGCAUCUUUGAAUACCGCAGAGUGGGGAGCAGUGGCUCCCAGCAGUGCCUUUGGCCUUGACCUGCCCUCAGCAGCAGCUCCCUCAGAGCCUCCCCCAUUUCCAGCUGUCUGCUCCCUGGGCACCUGAGCUCCGCGACUGGGGAAUACUGGGACACUCCCACCUUUGACAGAACUGGGGUUAUUGAAGCACUUCAUCCUCCCUCCAGGGAAAACUGGCCCAACAUCCAAGGCUCAUGGGGACCAGUGCCCUGUCUUGGGUGAUCAACCUCACCCUCAUCUCCAGCUACAUCAGUCAUUAAGGUCAAAGUCCUCCCCUCCCCAGCUGUUUGCAGAGGGGUCCCUGGCUGUGUUGGCAGGACUUCGGUGUCCAGGGUAGACCUCCCCUCUCAUGAGGAGGUCCUAGAAUCCUGAGGGGUCCCAGGCCUCAUCCUGCACAGGCACCAGCAUGAUACAGGGUGCUGGGUCACUGGGGACCCUCCGCAGAUUUAUUUUUAUAUAUGGAGCUGUUCACUGGACAGAGGGAGGUCACCCACCCAGGGGAGGGACUGGUUGUGGGUGGAGGCUCCUUUGCGGAACUCUAGAGAUGUGUUUAUAUUUCUGGGUUCGAUAUACAGUACCAAGUAAUAAAAACUUGUCUGUGUCAUGGUC
This is an RNA transcript of Mus musculus (house mouse), 9010 nucleotides long. It is a transcript of the gene named Eph receptor A10, with no coding region annotated. The transcript has 14 exons. The record is from RefSeq and is marked validated. Lineage: Eukaryota; Metazoa; Chordata; Mammalia; Rodentia; Muridae.